This 804-nucleotide ribosomal RNA is filed under the name uncultured bacterium. RNAcentral describes it as "bacterial SSU rRNA". It matches the Rfam family "Bacterial small subunit ribosomal RNA", at positions 67 to 862 of the family's 1533-position model. The record is from RNAcentral.
GGCAGCGGGGGAUGUAGCAAUACAUUCUGCCGGCGACCGGCGCAAGGGUGCGUAACGCGUGAGCAACAUGCCCGUCUCAGGGGGAUAACCGGUGGAAACGCCGCCUAAUACCCCAUGGCGAUAUAUUGAGGCAUCUUGAUAUAUCUAAAGCUCCGGCGGAGACGGAUUGGCUCGCGUGACAUUAGCUGGACGGCGGGGUAACGGCCCACCGUGGCUACGAUGUCUAGGGGUUCUGAGAGGAAGGUCCCCCACACUGGAACUGAGACACGGUCCAGACUCCUACGGGAGGCAGCAGUGAGGAAUAUUGGUCAAUGGGCGGGAGCCUGAACCAGCCAUGCCGCGUGAAGGCGAGUGCCCUACGGGCGUUAAACUUCUUUUGUGCGGGAGCAAUAAGGGCCACGCGUGGCCCGAUGAGAGUACCGCACGAAUAAGCAUCGGCUAACUCCGUGCCAGCAGCCGCGGUAAUACGGGGGAUGCGAGCGUUAUCCGGAUUUAUUGGGUUUAAAGGGUGCGUAGGCGGAAUGCCAAGUCAGCGGUAAAAUCGCGGGGCUCAACCUCGCUCCGCCGUUGAAACUGGCGUUCUUGAGUGGGCGAGAAGUAUGCGGAAUGCGUGGUGUAGCGGUGAAAUGCAUAGAUAUCACGCAGAACUCCGAUUGCGAAGGCAGCAUACCGGCGCCCAACUGACGCUGAAGCACGAAAGCGUGGGUAUCGAACAGGAUUAGAUACCCUGGUAGUCCACGCAGUAAACGAUGAAUACUAGCUGUUCGGGGCAAAUGAGCCUUGAGUGGCACAGCGAAAGCGUUA